UGCAGGAUAGAGUAAAGGUCACUCAGCGGCUUCAUACGCCGUACCAUAUGGGUUCGAUUCCCAUUCCUGCAACCA
This 75-nucleotide transfer RNA is filed under the name Clostridia bacterium. RNAcentral describes it as "tRNA-Met". It matches the Rfam family "tRNA". From Rfam's summary of the family: Transfer RNA (tRNA) molecules are approximately 80 nucleotides in length. Their secondary structure includes four short double-helical elements and three loops (D, anti-codon, and T loops). Lineage: Bacteria; Bacillati; Bacillota; Clostridia. The record is from RNAcentral.